RNAcentral lists this long non-coding RNA (362 nucleotides) under Olea europaea subsp. europaea. Lineage: Eukaryota; Viridiplantae; Streptophyta; Magnoliopsida; Lamiales; Oleaceae. The record is from RNAcentral.
CCGGAAGCAUUGUGGAGGUGUUCGAUGACUGUUCAUGGAAAAUUGCCGUGAUCUUGAAAGUUCUGAAUGGCAAUCAAUAUUUAGUAAGGCUUCUCGGGUGCUCUCUGGAAUUAAUAAUCAACAGAUCAAAUGCUAGGAUUAGACAAACUUGGCACAAUGAUGGGAAGGUACUUUACUACUUUCAUUUAUUUGUUGAGAUCUUAAUUUUCUGCAGUACAUGUUUCUUUACGACAGUUGAUCGACCCCCACAUAUUCUUCCUCAAGACAACAUCAAUCUUGCUUUGUUAGACGUUCCUUUUUCUUUCCUUUUUUUCCACUUAUUUGCCUGAUUACUUGUAAAUCCUUUGCUUGCAAUCUCUGAU